UACGUAGGGUGCGAGCGUUAAUCGGAAUUACUGGGCGUAAAGCGUGCGCAGGCGGUGAUGUAAGACAGUUGUGAAAUCCCCGGGCUUAACCUGGGACCUGCAUUUGUGACUGCAUUGCUGGAGUGCGGCAGAGGGGGAUGGAAUUCCGCGUGUAGCAGUGAAAUGCGUAGAUAUGCGGAGGAACACCGAUGGCGAAGGCAAUCCCCUGGGCCUGCACUGACGCUCAUGCACGAAAGCGUGGGGAGCAAACAGG
RNAcentral lists this ribosomal RNA (253 nucleotides) under uncultured bacterium. RNAcentral describes it as "partial 16S ribosomal RNA". It matches the Rfam family "Bacterial small subunit ribosomal RNA", at positions 524 to 776 of the family's 1533-position model. The record is from RNAcentral.